GAUAACCAGCAAAACGGUCAGAAGUGUUUCGGGUGUUUGCAAACGCUGAAUGAUCUUAAGUGCAACAAAUCCGGGCAAAUACAAUGUAGGGGGACACAAACCAAGUGUGGAAGACUGGAAUAUGUUCUCACGAAUGGUGGUCGCAAUUUAACAAUUGACUUUCAAGGAUGUCUCUCCGAAUCGACUUGUCAUCUGAACUCCACACAGGCAAUGUUUGGCGUGGAACUUGAGAAAAACUUUGAGUGUUGCGAUGAAAAUCUGUGCAAUGGAAUUGCGAGAACGGAGAUGGGAGCGCUCUGCUUUCUCGUCCUGAGCUUAUGCCUGCUCCUCAUCAGCCACAAUUGACCUGCAGCGUGUUUCGAUCUGUUUACCCUGUACAUACCUCUCGUUAUUUAUAGGAACGCGGUUUGUAUUUAUUGCUAGCUCCUGCCGACUCAGAUCAUUUUGUUGCGAAGAGGAAACGAAUGGAAGAUUGCAUAUCGAAAAGAGACUGAACGUAAGCCAUGGUCAAUACAUUUGAUCUAUGUUGUACAGCUUUUGUUGGAGUACUGACUUGACUCGUGUCUGCGCUGGGUCUCCAACUGAAAAAUUAACCUCAGUGCAUCCCCCACCCCUGACAACGUCCAACCCCAUCCCUACACAUCCUUCCUUUUCGACAAACUCCAGUUCUCCAUUGAAAGACUUGAGUGAAGCUGCCCUCCCCACACUCUCGGAAAGUACUUUCCAGACCCUGGCGCUCGAAUGAAUCCGCCUCCCCUCCAACACUCAGACAGUUACAGACCCUGACCACGGGAGGAGGCCAUUCGGGGGCCUGCCCUGCUCCUAUCUUCUCGUUUUGAUGUUAAGAAGAGGCCACUGGAUAAAUCGUUGCUUUGUUGAUUGAUGUGUCCAUUGUAUUUAUAUUGUAAUCACUUCCAGAAUUUUGUACAUUGUAAAUAUCCAGGAUAUUAAUGUCUAUUAAAAAUACUGGUCUCUCUCA
This is a long non-coding RNA of Rhincodon typus (whale shark), 979 nucleotides long. RefSeq lists it as uncharacterized. The transcript is spliced from 2 exons. The record is from RefSeq and is a predicted model, not a curated record. NCBI's taxonomy places the organism in Eukaryota, Metazoa, Chordata, Chondrichthyes, Orectolobiformes, Rhincodontidae.